RNAcentral lists this ribosomal RNA (879 nucleotides) under uncultured bacterium. RNAcentral describes it as "bacterial SSU rRNA". It matches the Rfam family "Bacterial small subunit ribosomal RNA", at positions 528 to 1405 of the family's 1533-position model. The record is from RNAcentral.
GGGGAUGCAAGCGUUAUCCGGAUUUAUUGGGUUUAAAGGGUGCGUAGGCGGUGGAUUAAGUCAGCGGUGAAAUUUAGGGGCUCAACCUCUACCGUGCCGUUGAUACUGGUUCGCUAGAAUGCGGAUGCCGUGGGAGGAAUGUGUGGUGUAGCGGUGAAAUGCAUAGAUAUCACACAGAACACCGAUUGCGAAGGCAUCUCACGAAUCCGCUAUUGACGCUGAUGCACGAAAGCGUGGGGAUCAAACAGGAUUAGAUACCCUGGUAGCCCACGCUGUAAACGAUGAUGACUAACCGUCGGCGAUACACAGUCGGUGGCCAAGCGAAAGCGAUAAGUCAUCCACCUGGGGAGUACGACCGCAAGGUUGAAACUCAAAGGAAUUGACGGGGGCCCGCACAAGCGGAGGAACAUGUGGUUUAAUUCGAUGAUACGCGAGGAACCUUACCCGGGCUCGAACGGCAGGGGAAUUAUCCAGAGAUGGAUAAGUCUUCGGACUCCUGUCGAGGUGCUGCAUGGUUGUCGUCAGCUCGUGCUGUGAAGUGUCGGCUUAAGUGCCAUAACGAGCGCAACCCUUGCCGUUAGUUGCCAUCAGGUGAUGCUGGGGACUCUAGCGGGACUGCCACCGCAAGGUGUGAGGAAGGGGGGGAUGACGUCAAAUCACCACGGUCCUUACGUCCGGGGCGACACACGUGUUACAAUGGUGAGUACACAGCGUAGCUACCUGGCGACAGGAUGCAGAUCUCUAAAGCUCAUCCCAUUUCAGGAUUGGGAGUCUGCGACCAGACUCCAUGAAUUUGGAUUUCACUAGUAAUCUCGCAUCAGGCGUGGGCGCAGUGAAUACGAUCCCCGGGCCUUGUACACACCGGCCCGGUCAAGCCAU